This is a long non-coding RNA of Chenopodium quinoa (quinoa), 2622 nucleotides long. RefSeq lists it as uncharacterized. The record is from RefSeq and is a predicted model, not a curated record. Lineage: Eukaryota; Viridiplantae; Streptophyta; Magnoliopsida; Caryophyllales; Amaranthaceae. The transcript is spliced from 3 exons.
CGUUGUCAAAAAUUUAAUAAACUUGACUCUAUUCCUCUCUCUUCUGUCUGACUCCCAAUGCAUUCAAUCUACUUUUCCCCGCCUUUUCCUCUACUCCACAUCUCCAAUUCUCCAUUCCAUUACUCCAAUCUCUCAUUCUCAUUCACAGUAGCCUGAUCGAUUAAUUUUCCACCCAAAAUUAGAGCGUGCUUUAGGGUUUUGUAUUUUUGCAAUACAAUCAAAUUCUAGGCUUUAGGGAAAUUGGAUUAUUCUGUUGAUGGUAUUGAAGAAGAUGGGCUCUGAAGCGGAAGUUGUUUGUCCUCAAAUUGUUCCUGUUGUCCAUGUCGUUUUUGCCUAUUAGAACAAGAGUUGUUGAACAGGAGCAGAGUUUAGCAUUUGGUGCGUUUUAAGCAUGAUGGAGAUUUCUAUGUUACAUCGGGAUUCGGAAAAUAUGUCUUAUGGGUCUAGCAAUGAGGAUUGCUCCAGUGCUAAGGUUUUUUCAUGGGGUUCUUUGGAUUUUUGCAAUAAAAGAUAUGGUACUUGUCUGUUUAUUCAGAGUUUCUUUUGAUCUCAUACUCCUUGCCUGUGAUAUUGUAUAGUUGGCAACUUAACUACCUAUAUACUCAUAGCUCUUUUGAGGCCGGGUUUGAUUGAGACAAUUUAUUGCAAUGAGUUUUAGUAGUCAAUUGUCAUACAGUGAAUGUGAUGAAAGGGCAGGUUUACAUUUGCAAAUUAUAGUGUUUUCACGAUUAAUUAUCUGAUAGUGUAUUAAUUGUGGUUGACAAGUUUCGUUGUUGGUGGACUUGCUAAUAUCUCAAAAUACAGAGACUAGCAUCAGGUUCUUGUUACCUUAUUAAUGAAAUUGUAGUGAAUUCUUCCGUUCUUCUUCAUUUCACUUAUCUUUUUUAGAACCAAACUGCAGGGAAUGCUUUAACAUUCACGAAGAGUUUUCUUUCUUUUCUUACUACCACAUAUCAUAUUAUAUCCUUUUGAGCUUUUAAACCAAUACCUAUUCAUUUGGAUAAUAUGCACUAUUUAACUGUAUUUGUGUAAGCUGUGUUUUAGAUAUGUUUUCCCUGACUCUAUAGUGGCCACCCAGUCAUGGUUUAUUCUUGCUCAUGUAACUCCUGAUUCUUUCACCAUCUUUUAGUUUAAUCUUUUGAAGAUGCAACAUUGAUAUAUACAUAUUUAACCUUUAUCUCUUGACUGCCAGAAACCAUUCUUCUCAAAAUUUGGAGCCAUUGUUACAAUUUCUUUUCUUGGAACCUUUAAAGCCUCAAUUUUUGUCUGGCCUUCUGGUGUAGGCAUCUUUUGCUCUCCUUUUCCAUCUGAUAAUGACUAUAUUGCUAUGUGGAUUUGCUUAUGACUUGAACUGCCGUUGAUUUCUGCUUUAGGUAUCUUGAUGGGGUUACAUAUCUUAUAUAAAAAUUCCCAUUUGUUGAAUGUUAUAAUGUUUGGAGCACUGAUAAUAUCAACUGAUCAUAUCAUUGUUUUGGCAAUAUUCUGGGUGACUCACUAUUUUGUUUCUGUUGCCUGCUUGAUGUGUUUCCAUUAUUUAAUUUGUUUUCUUUACAUUGUUAAUAGAUAAUGCCAUUCUUAUUACUUGAAACUUAUACAACCUUUGUUUCCUACUAUUUGCAACGAAAUUUUUUAUGCCUCAUAAAUAACACCCCUUUGUUGCAUAUAAUAAGAAACAAAUGUAGCAUGUGAAUAUAAAUGGACAAUCAGUUAACUAAACAAAUUAAAAAUUCUUAUACAAUCAAAUAAAAUUUAGACGUCAAAUAGCCAAAUUACUCUAUCUUGUUAAAUAAAAAAUAAAAUUGCAGCAGUCCAUUUUCCCGGGAUGGGAGGGUUGGGGAGUUACUGAGUUAGAAACCUUGGUUUGCCUGUGAAAUAUAUAGAUAAUUUUUAAUAAUUUUUACUAAUCAUAUGGUAUAUUUUUAAUUUCUAUACUUUCAGAACUGGUUCGGAGAAUUGAGUGUUGUCAUGGCCGUCUAUUGGCUCAAGGCAUAUUAUGCACUUUAGGGAGCUCAAAUUAAAUUAUGGGCCUCUUUACAAGGAGCCAAUUUACAAGGACUCGUACGUGGUUCUAUUCAAGGGUGUGGCCAAGCUGGGGACGGGCUUAAAACUAAGAAAUCAGCUGAUCAAUCUAAGUACAGUAGCUCACAAGUCGUGAUCCAAGUGGCAGUAGUACUCAGUGUAAUGCUUUUUGUAAACAAAAACUAUGGAAGUGCAUCUGAGAUUACUGAUGUUAAUGGCUUAAUACCUCUGCUUCUGGCAAGAAGGAAUCGAGCCUUGUUGAGGAGAAUGAAGGCUGUAAGCCCUUCGUACAUGAUCAGUUCAAGUUGAAAAGGAAUUCAUUCUGCAGAAAGAGAAGCAGCUCGACCUAAGUUCCUACAAAAACGGAAAAACCGAAGCUUUGCGAAAAAGGUGUGCAAACAUCAGGGGACAUAUUUGCGGUAUAUGAACUUGACCUGAAUUAUUUGUGUGUAUCUAUAGAUUAUCAUAUGCCUAAAUGUUUACAUAGCUUGAUUUUCAACGUCGAAUGGUGGAUUAUCUCACCAAGUAUUAGUAUUUGAUUAUAAAUGCAGGUGCGGUAUCAAAAGCAGGUAAAAAACUAGCAGAGCAGCAGCCUAGGGUGAC